GUGAUGUGAAGCGAAACUCAAAAAAGUAAGUCUCAUUCGGAUUGAAGGCUGAAAUUCGCCUUCAUGAAGCCGGAAUUGCUAGUAAUGGCAGGUCAGCAUACUGCCGUGAAUACGUUCCCGGGGCCUUGUACACACCGCCCGUCACACCAUGAGAGUUGGAGAUACCCGAAGCCUGUGAGCUAACAAACGAGGCAGCAGUCGAAGGUAGAAUCAAUGAUUGGGGUGAAGUCGUAACAAGGUAGC
This 243-nucleotide ribosomal RNA is filed under the name uncultured bacterium. RNAcentral's name for it is "partial 16S ribosomal RNA". It matches the Rfam family "Bacterial small subunit ribosomal RNA", at positions 1257 to 1500 of the family's 1533-position model. The record is from RNAcentral.